RNAcentral lists this ribosomal RNA (436 nucleotides) under uncultured bacterium. RNAcentral describes it as "partial 16S ribosomal RNA". It matches the Rfam family "Bacterial small subunit ribosomal RNA", at positions 29 to 508 of the family's 1533-position model. The record is from RNAcentral.
AGCGAACGCUGGCGGCAGGCUUAACACAUGCCAGUCGAGCGGGCAUCUUCGGAUGUCAGCGGCAGACGGGUGAGUAACACGUGGGAACGUACCCUUCGGUUCGGAACAACUCUGGGAAACUGGAGCUAAUACCGGAUACGCCCUUAUGGGGAAAGGUUUACUGCCGAAGGAUCGGCCCGCGUCUGAUUAGCUAGUUGGUGGGGUAACGGCCUACCAAGGCGACGAUCAGUAGCUGGUCUGAGAGGAUGAUCAGCCACACUGGGACUGAGACACGGCCCAGACUCCUACGGGAGGCAGCAGUGGGGAAUAUUGGACAAUGGGCGCAAGCCUGAUCCAGCCAUGCCGCGUGAGUGAUGAAGGCCUUAGGGUUGUAAAGCUCUUUUGUCCGGGACGAUAAUGACGGUACCGGAAGAAUAAGCCCCGGCUAACUUCGUGC